CCUACGGGUGGCAGCAGUCGAGAAUCAUUCACAAUGGGGGAAACCCUGAUGGUGCGACGCCGCGUGGGGGAAUGAAGGUCUUCGGAUUGUAAACCCCUGUUAUGUGGGAGCAAAUUCAAAAGAUAGUACCACAAGAGGAAGAGACGGCUAAAUCUGUGCCAGUAGCCGCGGUAAUACAGAGGCCUCAAGCGUUGUUCGGAAUCACUGGGCGUAAAGCGUGCGUAGGCUGUUUCGUAAGUCGUGUGUGAAAGGCGCGGGCUCAACCCGCGGACGGCACAUGAUACUGGGAGACUAGAGUAGAGGAGGGGGAGGCGGAAUGCUCGGUGUAGCAGUGAAAUGCGUAGAUAUCG
Molecule: ribosomal RNA, 350 nt
Filed under: uncultured bacterium
Lineage: Bacteria
Description: partial 16S ribosomal RNA
Rfam family: Bacterial small subunit ribosomal RNA
Source: RNAcentral